RNAcentral lists this unclassified non-coding RNA (278 nucleotides) under uncultured Anabaena sp. RNAcentral's name for it is "partial 16S-23S ribosomal RNA intergenic spacer". The record is from RNAcentral. Lineage: Bacteria; Bacillati; Cyanobacteriota; Cyanophyceae; Nostocales; Nostocaceae.
UAGGGAGACCUAAUCCAUUUAGAAAUCGAAAACAAUGAAAAUUGUCAAUAGAAACUAAAUUGGUCUAACCUAGGUCGUUCGAGAUUGGUAGACAUCUUUCAAAGUAUUAUUCGGCUUCGUUCAAAACCAUAUAUAAUAAAUGGAAAAAGACAGCACCUAAUUGUCAAAGUUAGACUGCUGGAUGAAGUUCCAGCCAGAACCUUGAAAACUGCAUAAGAGAACAAGAAAAAGCAGGCAGACACAGACAUUUAGAUGGAUGUGGAAGCAAAAGAGAUUGU